GACGGAGGAUGCAAGUGUUAUCCGGAAUUAUUGGGCGUAAAGCGUCUUUAGGUUGCCUAACAAGUCUGUUGUUAAAGGUUAAAGCUUAACUUUAAAACUGCAGCAGAAACUGCUAGGCUUGAGUACAGUCGAAGUAGAGGGAAUUUCCAGUGAAGCGGUGAAAUGCGUAGAUAUUGGAAGGAACACCAAUGGCGAAAGCACUCUACUAGACUUUUACUGACACUCAGAGACGAAAGCUAGGGUAGCAAAUGGGAUUAGAUACCCCAGUAGUCCUAGCCGUAAACGAUGGAUACUAGAUGUUGUAUAUCUCAGUAUCGUAGCUAACGCGUUAAGUAUCCCGCCUGGGGAGUACGCUCGCAAGGGUG
Molecule: ribosomal RNA, 365 nt
Filed under: uncultured phototrophic eukaryote
Lineage: Eukaryota
Description: SSU rRNA
Rfam family: Bacterial small subunit ribosomal RNA
Source: RNAcentral